GUCUUCGUGGUGUAGUGGUCAGCACGCUCGGCACAUAUUCGAGAAGUCCUUGGUUCGAGUCCUGGCGAGGGAA
RNAcentral lists this transfer RNA (73 nucleotides) under Stegodyphus mimosarum. It matches the Rfam family "tRNA". Rfam says of the family: Transfer RNA (tRNA) molecules are approximately 80 nucleotides in length. Their secondary structure includes four short double-helical elements and three loops (D, anti-codon, and T loops). The record is from Rfam by way of RNAcentral. Lineage: Eukaryota; Metazoa; Arthropoda; Arachnida; Araneae; Eresidae.